UUGUGGAGGAGGACGCCGAAGGUGGGGCUAAUGACUGGGGUGAAGUCGUAACAAGGUAGCCGUACCGGAAGGUGCGGCCGGAUCACCUCCUAACAGGGAGACAACAAAAUGUUAAAUAUUAAUUUUGUCACCUUAGGUCGAUCGGUAUCUCACAUUCUUAAUUUAUUAAGGAUUUUAUUUCCUAAGUUUUUUCUAGGUCACACCCAUUAUUUUCCUGGGCCAUUAGCUCAGGUGGUUAGAGCGCACCCCUGAUAAGGGUGAGGUCCCUGGUUCAAGUCCAGGAUGGCCCAUAUCUCUAUGUUGGGGGUAUAGCUCAGUUGGUAGAGCGCCUGCUUUGCAAGCAGGAUGUCAGCGGUUCGAGUCCGCUUACCUCCACUGAUUACCACCUCUUCCAUAAUUUAUAGAAGGGAAAUUUUUAGGUGUGAUCAUCUUCUGAACGAAUCUAGCUUCCUAAUCAAACUUUUUAAGAUGCUGGACUCAUUGAAUUAAUUUCAUUGUUUUCAGAGAACCUUGACAACUGCAUAGAUUAUUUUAAAGACAAUAAGCAUCUUUAAUGAUGCAGAUUUAUUAUUUGUGCGAAUGCAUUAAUAACAAUUCUAUUAAGCUGAUGCUUCAAUUUUUGAAGUUAUUGGUCAAGCUACAA
This 643-nucleotide unclassified non-coding RNA is filed under the name uncultured Prochlorococcus sp. RNAcentral's name for it is "partial 16S-23S ribosomal RNA intergenic spacer; may also contain 16S ribosomal RNA and 23S ribosomal RNA". The stretch from base 303 to 375 matches the Rfam family "tRNA". The record is from RNAcentral. Lineage: Bacteria; Bacillati; Cyanobacteriota; Cyanophyceae; Synechococcales; Prochlorococcaceae.